This 1744-nucleotide long non-coding RNA is filed under the name Gallus gallus (chicken). RNAcentral describes it as "lncRNA (ENSGALG00000053347.2)". The record is from RNAcentral. Lineage: Eukaryota; Metazoa; Chordata; Aves; Galliformes; Phasianidae.
AAGGAAGAGACACCAUCCAAUGGAACAGAAGCAUUAAAUGCACAGAACUGUAUGCUACUAAUCAGACCUAAACUUUCUGACAGCACUAUCAAAAAAGUAUUUUUUUCCACCAGGAUCUCCUCCAGUUGCUGCUGUUUCUGUGUUGUUUGACUUCUGUUUCUUCUUGUUCCUGUUAACAUGUGUAGCAUCUCAGUAGUUUCCUGAAUUCGAAGCGUAACUAACAAGACUCAGGAAAAUUCUUUGCCAGAGAUACCAGCUACUGUCAUCAAUACUGCCCAUCCAACACAGGCUACAGUGCCGUGUUCAUACUUUAAACUCUUGGAGAAAAGUCUACCUUGCCUUCCACCCAAACCUGGGUUUUCAAACAGACUUUGGAACAGCUGUGUAGCUGGUUGAAAAAACCAUUCCACCUUCGUCAUCUUCGAGAAGCACCGGAUUUACCCUGCCUGUGUCUUGGAGUAUACAUGCUCACCCCAGUAAGGAUCCUUCAAGAGGUAAACAGCUCAUUUCCUUCCUGCUCUAUUAUUAAACCUCGUAACUCAAAAUCCGGUCACCUUAUUUCACAUUUUUUGGAGGUCGGAGAAGCAGAAUGUUUAACAACACGCAAGCCCGAAUGAGUGCCAUACACAGACAUCUGUCCUUACAUGCAACAAGUCCAUCUACUGAUGAAACUACUUUUGUUCCCCCUCAUCGGUCCUCAUGUUCACGCUGCUUGGAGGCUGAGCAGAUGACAGCACACAGAAAGACCCCCAUUUACUGUGACUGGGGAUUACCACCUGGUUUUCUGCUUCCAUUAGAAACUGAGCCCUAGUAAUAGUAGGCAGUGUGUGUGUGUGCUCAGAGCCAAAACAACACAGUGUUCCUUCUCCAGCUGAGCAGGUCUCUAUUUUUUUUAUUUAUUUAUUUUAAGUAUUUUCAAGUACUCAGUUCCUUCUAAGAGAACCUCCAUUCUUUGCCUUAUUAAUUGCUCUUAUUUUUUCAAAGCUGAGUGAGAACAAGUCCUGUGGCUUAGGUCACACUCAGAAGGAUCUUAUUUACUAAUGCUCCUGGCAAACAAAUUAGUGAGUGCCCGAUUACUGAAUGAAUUAAUGAGGAUUCCCAGUUCACUAUGCAGUUAUUGAGCCUAGUGGCUAUGUUUGGUUUUCUUUUAUAUGCGCGAAGUUCACAAAAUUGAUACUGCUCAUCUGUAUUCUUCCAUGUGCUAUUGAAACAAUGCUCUGGCCACUUUCCUUACAACUCUUUUCAGCUGCUUGGCAACAUGAGUCCAUCAAACAGCUGGUACCUUUGGAGAGCAUUAAAAGCUCUGUAGUUCAUGCUUGAUGCCCAUACCAGACCUACUGUAGUUCCUACUGACGGUUCUGGUCUCAGCGUGCCUUAAAAAUAGAUAUCUUUAUAUUUCAAAAAGACUAGCCUGUCAUGCACUUAAGUGUAUUUAACAUGUCACGGCAUGGUUUGAAUUUUAGUACCUUAACACUCUGUGGUUCCUUUUCUUUUAGCUCUGAACAUUAAAAUCAGAUCCUUCUUACUUCCCUCCUUCCCACCAUGGUUUUAAUUUCAAUUUUUCCUUACUAUUAAAAAUACUGAUUUUAUUACACUGAUUCUUAAAUAGUGUAUCCAGCAGUAGGUACUUUUUUUCCUGAGUGCCUGUAAGCGAGUGUUCAUGAAGCUAUGCACAUGUACGGCUUGCCUGUGAGUACACUGUAGUGAGGACUUUCACUUGAGCCAAAUAAAACCAGAGCAUCUU